This 269-nucleotide ribosomal RNA is filed under the name uncultured prokaryote. Its description in RNAcentral is "partial 16S ribosomal RNA". It matches the Rfam family "Bacterial small subunit ribosomal RNA", at positions 524 to 792 of the family's 1533-position model. The record is from RNAcentral.
UACGAAUGGUCCAAGCGUUGUUCGGAAUCAUUGGGCUUAAAGAGCACGUAGGCGGGAGCUUAAGUGUCUUGUGAAAUCCCUCGGCUUAACCGAGGAACUGCAUGGCAUACUGGGCUCCUUGAGGCAAGUAGGGGUGUGUGGAACUACAGGUGGAGCGGUGAAAUGCGUAGAUAUCUGUAGGAACGCCAGCAGAGAAGUCGGCGCACUGGGCUUGUUCUGACGCUGAGGUGCGAAAGCGUGGGGAGCGAAGAGGAUUAGAUACCCCCGUA